Sarcophilus harrisii (Tasmanian devil) is the source of this 690-nucleotide long non-coding RNA. RefSeq lists it as uncharacterized. Lineage: Eukaryota; Metazoa; Chordata; Mammalia; Dasyuromorphia; Dasyuridae. The transcript is spliced from 3 exons. The record is from RefSeq and is a predicted model, not a curated record.
GCCCCUGGUCUGCUCAGGACGCUAGCCUCUCCCUGCCUGCGCUGGUCUGUUUCUGGCCCCUCAGGACAAACCUUUCCUGGCGAUCUUCCAGAUUGACUUCAGCAGAAUCUGAUAAAUGGAAUAGGACAUAUAUAAUAAACUACAUUAUGGAAAGAAAUGACGAAGGGAAAAAAAUGCAUGAAGAAAAUUGGGUGGACUACAUCAAUGGUUGAUUCCAUCUCUACAUCUGUGAUCCUGUGAUAACAUUUAUGCCAUUUUCUGCUUUUUUUUUCCCUUAUAAAUUUUCACUUGUUAGUUGGGGAUUAAAAGCCAUAUCAUAGAAUGGAGAUUGGGAGCAGUAUCUAAUAGGAUCCCUACUAUGCUCCACCUCACCCAAAACACAAGGCUGAACUAUUUUUUCUAAAGUCCCAUCCCAUGAAGGAUAGGUCUUUUUUUCCUUAAAACAUAUUGAAACCAUUCCAUAAUAGGGCAUGGGUAUGGGUUAAGACUAGAACAGUUGAUAUAAUUUUCUGAUAGCUUAAAUAAAAAUACCAAUACAUAGGACUUCUUCCUUCAGUCUUGAUGGAGUGAAUGCUGAUUUGGCCAAUCUAUAAGGUAAAAAAAAUGUACAUAAUUAAAUCAAUUUUGUAUUCUUCUUGAAUAUAUUUUCAAUGUAAUGAUAAUUAAGUAAACUUAACUUGCUUGAGCUAA